This 3307-nucleotide long non-coding RNA is filed under the name Mus musculus (house mouse). RNAcentral describes it as "long non-coding RNA chr15:95923432-95926739". Lineage: Eukaryota; Metazoa; Chordata; Mammalia; Rodentia; Muridae. The record is from RNAcentral.
GAACAUUUACUUGACGGGUUGUCACGGGGACAAAGGUUUCAUGUCUCUUGAGGAUAUACCAAGGGGCGGGGUUUCUGGGCUAUAUAUAAAGUCUCUGUUUGACAUUGGGAGACACUACCAAAGUACUGUCCAGAUGCCUGCUGUUUUACAUCCCCACCAGUCACCUGUAGGGACUCCAGAUUCUCCAGGGACCAAUGGGUACUUUCUUUGGUUUUGUUUUUGUUUUGGAAUUGGCUGUGAUGGUUUGUAUAUGCUCAUUCCAGGGAGUAGCACUAUUAGGAGGUGUGAACCUGUUGUGUAGAUGCGUCACUGUGGGUGUGGGCUAUAAGACCCUCAUCUUAGCUACCUGGAAGUCAGUCUUCCACCUGCAGCCUUCAGAUGAAGAUGUAGAACUCUCAGCUCUUCCUGCACCGUGCCUGUCUAGAUGCUGCCACGCUCCCACCUUGAUGAUAAUGUAUUGAACCUCUGACGCUGUAAGCCAGCCCCGGUGAAAUGUUGUCCUUUUUAAGACUUGACUUGAUUAUGGAGUGUGUUCAGCAGUAAAACCCUAAGAUAUUGGCCAUCUCAUUCGGUGUAAGUGGUAUCUCAUGGCUGUUGUGGGUUUUCCCAACCUAGACUGGUGCUGAGCAUCUUCUCUGAGUUUAUCACUGGUGUGACUUUAGAGAAACGUCUCUUGGAAUCUUCUGCCUGUAAUUGUGUUGACUUGGAAUUAAUAGUUCUCUGUGUGCUCAGCAUAGAAGCCCCUUGUCAGAUCCUGUCUUCUUCUGUUUCAAAUAAUAUCACAACAGACAGGGGAGUUUGUGAGUAAUGAGCUUUUUUUCUCACAAUUCUGCGUGUUAGGAGCUCAACUUGGUGUCUCUUGGGGGCUGGGCAGAGUUUGGAAGGAGUCAAUGUUGUAUCCUACCUGGCCUGAGAGCCCAGUGGUUGGUUUGUUUGUUUGUUUGUUUGUUUGUUUGUCUUUAACUUACAUGAGUUCCUCCUUCAUUCUUGAUGACUGGCUUCACAGGUGUAGAAUCUGGGUACACAGCUUGCUUUUAUGACUUAGCAAACACUGUCCCACUCUUUCUGGACCCUGGGUUUCUGACAGGGAGUCGUGUUUUCUUUCUGGUGAGCUUUCUGGGUGGCCAGUCAUGUCUGCCUCUGUCUCUGUCUCUGUCUCUGUCUCUGUCUCUCUCGCUCCAUUCUUUCCUAGGACUCUCUCUCUCUCUGUGUGCCCUUUGAGUAUGGUGUCCCUAGGUUUGAAUCUCCUUGAGUGUAUCUUUCUACGAUCUUGCCGAGUUUCUCGGAUGUAAAGAUGAAAGCAUUCAUCAAAGUUUGGAGGUCGGGCUCAUCCUUCAAUGGUUCCUUUCCUGUAUGCGACUUGCCCAGUGCAUGUGCUGAUGGUGUGUCUGAUAGAGUUCCCUGGUAUUUGAAGCUGACUUUUCAGGUCUUUCCUACUCCUUUUUCUUUCCAUUUUUCAGACUGUAUAGCCUGAAGAGAUACAUUAAGUUUCUUGUCUGCAGAGGAGAGCCUUUCAGGACUUCCGCAUUGCUGUUACUGUGCUUGGCUUCAAUGUCUUGUUCUCGUUAGCAUACUGCUUUCCUCAUUCAGUGAGACGCCGUCACAUCGUUUCUUUAAUGCCCGAGGUGUGACUUCCUUUAGUUCUGAGUUCAUAUUUGCUCACUCCUGAUUCUGAUGCACCUUCGACGGGCACAUUGAGAAUUUGACAUUUUAAGUAUUACACUGUAAGAGCCAUGGGAAUCAGAUUUCCCCCUCUGGGUUUAUUGCUACUUCUUGUUGCAAUUCCUCUGCCACCCUUGUUCCUUUCCUAGACUGAUUCCAUGGUCUGUGUUCCCUGCCUUGUAUGGGCACUGAAGUCUGUGUGUGCAAUAGAUCACUACACGCCAGGUAGAUUCAGUGAUUCCAUCCAUGCUGGGUCCUGUCCUUUCUCCUUGCCAUGUGUAUCGGGAAUGUGUCUGACACUCCAACAGACUGAAUUCUGUUCUCCUAAGGCUUCCUUUCUGGCUUAGGCAGAAGGCCAGGGUCAGCCUCCAGGAUCUUUCAGACCUGUCCAGGCUUAUGCACUCUUAUCUAGAACAUAUGCACGUGGCCUCCUGUAUCACACAGAUAUCUUAAAGGUUUGGGGACUGUGGUUACACCAUACCCACUUCUUCCUUUUAGGUUUCAUUAGGGCUGAUAUGGCCACUCCAGACACGCUUCCCAUACCCAUGUUCCUCUGGGUUAUUUGCAAGGUCACCUGGGCAGCUGUAAUGCCGUCCAUCCCCCAUUCUCGCAGUGUCCAUCUGAAAUGGCAUCCCCUCUCAGAGCAGUCUACAACCCCUGGUCUAUUUUCAUUAAAUCUCAAAUGUGUCGGUAACUUCCUCUGUGGUUUUCGUUUCCAUGGUGACAGCAUUUCUCCUUAUCCUAAGAUUGUUGAGAUAUUCUUUUGUUGUUAUAGUCUCUUAAAAACAUUUCUUUUAUUUUCAAUUACAUGUGUGUGUUGAUAGCACAGGUGCCCGCCUCCCCCUUGCCCUCCAAAGCCAGAAAGGGUAUCAGGUCCCCUGGAGCUAGAGUUACAGGCAGUUGUGUGCUGCUCUCUGUAGGUGCUGGGAUCCGAACUCAGGUCUUCUACAAGAGCAGUAUGUUCUCUUAACUGUGAAGCCCAGCUCUCCAGCCCUGUCUGUUUUCUUUUUCAUAUUCUGUAGCUGUCAUUCUUGUUUCUCAAAUAGAAUUGACUUUUAUGUGACACAAUGGGGCUUAUUUGCAUUCAUGUUCUAUCAUGUAUCAUGAAUUGAGCUGUCUGUUCCUAUUGCCUAAAUCGGGGGCCAGAUCUUUGGAUAUAGGUAGGAACCUUUGCGUGUUUUAUUUUAUGCUGCUGUUGGUGGUUUAGACUGUGUCAGCUGUGUCUAAUUGGUCUGGUAUGGACUUUGGGUCUUCUGUGAGAUUUGUAGAGCAAUAGAAAAAGAUCCAGCAAGAAUCCUGAUAUUCCCCACGCCCUGCCACCAAACAAUUCUGAAAUCAUAGCGCAGAUCUUCCUCACUGUAUAUGACAAAGUUUUAUAGUAUUUUUUCAUAUAAAUCUUAAUACAUCUUUGAUUAGAUUCAUUCCCAAACACUAUACUUGUGAAACUACUAAAAAAUAAUAAUAUUUUUAAAAAUGUUAUUUCCCAAUUGUUUCAAGUGGAUAAGGAGAAAAUCUCUUUUUAUUUCCCUGUGUAUACUUUAUAUAUUAAUUCCGUGUCCACAAACUUUACUAAAAAUGCUCUUAUUAUCUCUGGGUUCAAGGUGAGACCUAAUGCUACGAUAAAUACUAGGAUCUCCCUGUCUUG